This 159-nucleotide non-coding RNA is filed under the name Alphaproteobacteria bacterium. RNAcentral's name for it is "6S RNA". It matches the Rfam family "6S / SsrS RNA". Rfam says of the family: E. coli 6S RNA was the first non coding RNA to be sequenced, but its function was unknown until recently. It consists of 184 nucleotides that fold into an extended hairpin structure with a large single-stranded internal bulge. The 6S RNA specifically associates with RNA polymerase holoenzyme containing the sigma70 specificity factor. Lineage: Bacteria; Pseudomonadati; Pseudomonadota; Alphaproteobacteria. The record is from RNAcentral.
CGGAUACUGCUGGGUGCGUGAUAUGCUAUUAUCCCACUGACCGAUACAUUCUCGAUUGGGAACUGUCCCUGCCGGAGCCGUGGUUUCGGACAUAUGGUGCCCACCUGACUAACAGGGUCAUCGAGGAUAUUUCGCGUACACGGCCUGUGCGGUAUCCAC